This is a non-coding RNA of Marmota flaviventris (yellow-bellied marmot), 366 nucleotides long. The record is from RefSeq and is a predicted model, not a curated record. Lineage: Eukaryota; Metazoa; Chordata; Mammalia; Rodentia; Sciuridae.
GGCCCCUGGUGGCAGCCGGCCAGAGCCUCUUAGGAAGUGCUGGAGUCUCCGACCGGAGCCGCCGGAAACCCGCUGCCCGGAGGUGGCCCCUUGGCUGUGAAGACAGGCAAGAUCAGAGGAGCAGGUGCUGGCCUCGCGGGACCCCCAGGUUGUAGGACUGUGAUCAAAGUCUGGAGGACCUCCAUAGCCCUUAACACCGACUUGGUUACAGUCUCGCUGACGAAUCUGGUGGCCUGAGUUCCACCGAGGGGCAGGUGACAGCCUGUGGGCAGGCAGGGGUGUGCUGGUAGGUGGUCAGGAACCAGCUGUAUAGAAGGAAAGGCCCAUGUGUCCAUGUGUUGUCCACCAUGGGUGGGUGAGCUGGUG